Mauremys mutica (yellowpond turtle) is the source of this 369-nucleotide non-coding RNA. NCBI's taxonomy places the organism in Eukaryota, Metazoa, Chordata, Testudines, Geoemydidae. The record is from the annotation of a RefSeq genome assembly.
AUGAGCACGAGUUUGAUACUGAGCUUUUUUAUCGUUACUCUGUGCCCAGGUGCUGUGCUGGGUGACUCGAUCCAGUCCAACAAACCCGAAGCGUCUGCAGGAGCAGGGGACAAUGUGACACUCAGCUGUUCUUACAAUACCAGUUAUUCUGAUGUCUAUCUCUACUGGUACCGACAGUUUCCUGACCAAGGCCCACAGUACGUUCUCCGAAUAGGUGCCAAGGCCUACAGCUCUGUCCGUGAUUUUGCAGAGUUUGCCAAGAAGAGAUUUACUCCCCAGGCUAAUGAUACCUCUACAGUUGUGACUGUCACAGCCCUGGAGCUGGCGGACACAGCGGUGUAUUACUGCGCCCUGCAGAGGGCACAGUGA